RNAcentral lists this unclassified non-coding RNA (255 nucleotides) under fungal sp. RNAcentral's name for it is "partial internal transcribed spacer region". The stretch from base 1 to 46 matches the Rfam family "Eukaryotic small subunit ribosomal RNA", at positions 1786 to 1831 of the family's 1831-position model. The record is from RNAcentral. Lineage: Eukaryota; Fungi.
AAGUCGUAACAAGGUUUCCGUAGGUGAACCUGCGGAAGGAUCAUUACCAUUGGUGAAUCGUAGCACCUUAAAUUAGCGACCAAAUCAUGUGCACCAUCCUGCUUGUUGGUGGGGUCAUAGAUGUGGAGCCUUACGGCGAAGCGUCCAUGUAACCACCGACACUAUAUUAACCUAUUAUUACUAUUAAAUGAUCAGUACCAAGGGACUUGUCCCAAGGGAAGUAAACAACUUUUAGCAACGGAUCUCUAGGCUCUC